ACACCGCCCGUCAAGCCAUGGGANCCGGGGGUGCCUGAAGUUCGUUACCGCAAGGAUCGACCUAGGGCAAAACUGGUGACUGGGGCUAAGUCGUAACAAGGUAAC
This 105-nucleotide ribosomal RNA is filed under the name uncultured bacterium. RNAcentral describes it as "partial 16S ribosomal RNA". It matches the Rfam family "Bacterial small subunit ribosomal RNA", at positions 1387 to 1500 of the family's 1533-position model. The record is from RNAcentral.